This 572-nucleotide ribosomal RNA is filed under the name Hanseniaspora occidentalis. RNAcentral describes it as "eukaryotic LSU rRNA". It matches the Rfam family "Eukaryotic large subunit ribosomal RNA", at positions 79 to 668 of the family's 3401-position model. Lineage: Eukaryota; Fungi; Ascomycota; Saccharomycetes; Saccharomycodales; Saccharomycodaceae. The record is from RNAcentral.
CUCAGUAACGGCGAGUGAAGCGGCAAAAGCUCAAAUUUGAAAUCUGGCACUUUCAGUGUCCGAGUUGUAAUUUGUAGAAGUAGUUUUGGGACUGGUCCUUAUCUAUGUUUCUUGGAACAGGACGUCAUAGAGGGUGAGAACCCCGUAUGAUGAGGCCCCCAGUCCUUUGUAAAACGCUUUCGAAGAGUCGAGUUGUUUGGGAAUGCAGCUCUAAGUGGGUGGUAAAUUCCAUCUAAAGCUAAAUAUUGGCGAGAGACCGAUAGCGAACAAGUACAGUGAUGGAAAGAUGAAAAGAACUUUGAAAAGAGAGUGAAAAAGUACGUGAAAUUGUUGAAAGGGAAGGGCAUUUGAUCAGACAUGGUGUUUUGCGCCCUUUGCUCCUUGUGGGCGGAGGAUACGCAGCUCACUGGGCCAACAUCAGUUUUGGGAGCAGGAUAAAUCUGUAGGAACGUAGCUUUCUUCGGGAAGUGUUAUAGCCUAUGGGAAUACUGCUACCUGGGACUGAGGACUGCGUCUUUUGACAAGGAUGUUGGCAUAAUGGUUAAAUGCCGCCCGUCUUGAAACACGGACCA